GCAUUGGUAGUCCAGUGGUAGGAUUCUUGCCUUCCAUGCUGGAGAUCCAGGUUCGAUUCCUAGCCAAUGCA
This 71-nucleotide transfer RNA is filed under the name Loxodonta africana (African savanna elephant). It matches the Rfam family "tRNA". Rfam says of the family: Transfer RNA (tRNA) molecules are approximately 80 nucleotides in length. The record is from Rfam by way of RNAcentral. Lineage: Eukaryota; Metazoa; Chordata; Mammalia; Proboscidea; Elephantidae.